CUUAUGACAUGCGGUUGACCAGUUCAGAAAUCGCUAUGGCUGAGCGAGAAAUUGUCACUGAAAAGAUGGAUGGGGUGUACCGUCUGUGAGCCUCAACAAUUGAUGUGUUAGAUGUUUUGACUGAGAUCAUAGGAUGGGAACACCUUUCAAUUACCAACACGCUGGUUGAGAGAUUGAAACUAAAAAGAUAUACAGGAAUUGUGUGACAGACCAAGAGAUCACCCAAGGAACCGAAUCGCCCCAAUCAGAUAGCUCGACUGGUCACAACUGCAGUCCAAAAUACCAGACCAAGAGAUCACCCAAGGGACCGAAUCGCCCCAAUCAGAUAGCUCGACUGGCCACAACUGCAGUUCAAAUGCCAGAUCGGAAUUCAUCACUAUAGUACCGUAUUCACCAGUAAGGUUUUAUCCAGGAUAACAGAGUAGCAUCUGGGAUUGAUCUCUUCAGUAUGUUGGAUUCACCAGUAACGUUUAAUCCAGGAUACCAGAGUGGUAUCAGGAUUUGAUCACUUCAGUACUGUAUUUACCAGUAACAUUUUAUCCAGGAUACCAGAGUUGGCAUAUGGGACGAUCACUUCAGUACCCUAUACCAGAGUACAUUAUGUAUCUUGGAUCGAUGACUUCAGUACUGUAAUCAUCAUGUACAAUUGAAAUAAGAGACAAAAAUUGCAUAUGUAUCAAAUGCAGAGAAAUGUGUCAAUUUUCUUGCAGAGUAUUCCCCUAUCAAUAGAUCAAUACAUCAUAGUUUAUUACAGUCAUCUUGUCAGUAGGCUGCUAAACUCUUGCUGGGGGGCGGGGGGAAUUUACUAUG
Long non-coding RNA from Mya arenaria, 810 nucleotides. RefSeq lists it as uncharacterized. The transcript has 4 exons. The record is from RefSeq and is a predicted model, not a curated record. Lineage: Eukaryota; Metazoa; Mollusca; Bivalvia; Myida; Myidae.